GUGGUAGUCAAGUGGUAUCCACAAGCAAAAUCCAUCUUUUCCUGUUGCAUUUUAAUUGAUGAGAAAUGGGAGACUGUGAGAGCCUCCACUGCUGAACCUCCUGACUCCAUUUUAGUGAGGUUUUCCUUAAUUUAUUUUCACAAGACCAUAGGUUUGAAUAUGCCUUUCUUGUAAGCUGAGGUACAGACUACGUAACUGUAAGGACUAAAGACUGAAGACCUACUGAGGGAUUGGAGUCUGGAGGCAAGCCUGCCUGCUUGGAUGUAACUAGGCAGGGAUGUUUCACAAACAAACAUUGCUCCAAGGCAUUCCUGCUGCUGUCUCAGGCCAAGGAAAGCAAGCCCACACAUUUGCUUCUUCCUCCACUUGGCUCUCGCGGCACAGAGGUGUCCAAGAAGAUGUUGCUAAGGCCAAAAGAACCCCUUUUCAUUUAUUUUUAAAACAAACUAGUAAUGUAUGCAUAUACUCUCACUGUGAAAAAACAUCAGGCAAUACAGAAGUUAUUCAUUAAAAAUAAAAGUAUCCUUCCCUCCCUUUCAA
Molecule: long non-coding RNA, 540 nt
Organism: Suricata suricatta (meerkat)
Lineage: Eukaryota; Metazoa; Chordata; Mammalia; Carnivora; Herpestidae
Exons: 3
Source: RefSeq, a predicted model, not a curated record